RNAcentral lists this ribosomal RNA (460 nucleotides) under uncultured bacterium. Its description in RNAcentral is "bacterial SSU rRNA". It matches the Rfam family "Bacterial small subunit ribosomal RNA", at positions 340 to 787 of the family's 1533-position model. The record is from RNAcentral.
UACGGGAGGCAGCAGUGGGGAAUAUUGGACAAUGGGCGCAAGCCUGAUCCAGCCAUGCCGCGUGUGUGAAGAAGGCCUUUUGGUUGUAAAGCACUUUAAGCGAGGAGGAGGCUACUGGUAUUAAUACUACCGGAUAGUGGACGUUACUCGCAGAAUAAGCACCGGCUAACUCUGUGCCAGCAGCCGCGGUAAUACAGAGGGUGCGAGCGUUAAUCGGAUUUACUGGGCGUAAAGCGUGCGUAGGCGGCUUUUUAAGUCGGAUGUGAAAUCCCUGAGCUUAACUUAGGAAUUGCAUUCGAUACUGGGAAGCUAGAGUAUGGGAGAGGAUGGUAGAAUUCCAGGUGUAGCGGUGAAAUGCGUAGAGAUCUGGAGGAAUACCGAUGGGCGAAGGCAGCCAUCUGGGCCUAAUACUGACGCUGAGGUACGAAAGCAUGGGGAGGCAAACAGGAUUAGGAUAACC